CCAAUCGAACCCGGAGAUAGCUGGUUCUCCUCGAAAUAGCUUUAGGGCUAGCCUCAUGGAUCAUUGAUGGGGGUAGAGCACUGAAUGUGCGCGGGGGCCACAAAGCCUACCAAACGCUAUCAAACUUCGAAUACCAUACAAUGCAGACCAUGGGAGUCAGUCCGCGAGAGAUAAGUUCCGCGGGCAAAAGGGGAACACCCCAGAUCAACCGCUAAGGUCCCCAAGUUCACGUUAAGUGGAGAAGGAUGUGGAAUUGCACAGACAACCAGGAUGUUGGCUCAGAAGCAGCCACACAUUUAAAGAGUGCGUAAUAGCUCACUGGUCGAGUGAUUGUGCGCCGAAGAUGUCCGGGGCUAAACGUGACACCGAAGCGAUGGGUGCAUCUGAAAGGAUGCGCGGUAGAGGAGCAAUGUGCAGAGGCAGAAGCCGUAUCGAGAGGCACGGUGGACACUGCACAAGAGAGAAUGCCGGUAUGAGUAGCGAGAGGCAUGCGAGAAACAUGCCCGUCGAAAGCCCAAGGUUUCCUGGGGAAGGUUCAUCCGCCCAGGGUAAGUCGGGGCCUAAGCCGAGGACGGAAGUCGUAGGCGAUGGACAGCAGGUGUAGAUUCCUGCACUACCGAUGGAAUGAAGCAGUGACACAGAAGGAUAACUCGAGCAGGGUGAUGGUCAACCCUGUGCAAGCAUCAAGGUUGGGUUGUAGUGAAGUACGCAACCCUACAAGCUGAGGUGUGAUGCGGACCGAAAUUUUAGUAGGGAAGCGAGUGAGUUCACGCUGGCGAGAAAAGCUGCUAGUACAUCCAAAGGUACCCGUACCGGAAACCGACGCAGGUGGGCGAGGAGAGAAUCCUGAGACGAACGGGAGAACCCUUGUUAAGGAACUCGGCAAAAUGACCCCGUAACUUCGGGAUAAGGGGUGCCUGCGAGAGCAGGCCGCAGAGAAUAGUCACAAGCGACUGUUUAGCAAAAACACAGGUAUCUGCGAAAGCGAGAGCUGACGUAUAGGUGCUGACACCUGCCCGGUGCUGGAAGGUUAAGGGAACAUGUUAGAGCAAUCGAAGCAUCGAACCGAAGCCCCAGUAAACGGCGGCCGUAACUAUAACGGUCCUAAGGUAGCGAAAUUCCUUGUCGGGUAAGUUCCGACCCGCACGAAUGGUGUAACGACUUGUGAGCUGUCUCAACAGGGGGCCCGGUGAAAUUGAAGUAUGGGUGAAGAUGCCCAUUACCCGCGACUGGACGGAGAGACCCCGUAGAGCUUUACUGCAGCCUGAUAUUGAGUUUCGGUAACUGAUGCACAGGAUAGGUGGGAGUCUGAGAGACAUGGGUUUCGGCUCAUGUGGAGACGGUGUUGGGAUACCACUCUUCGGUUACUGAAAUUCUAACAUAGCUCUGUGAAACCAGAGGAUGGACAGUGUCAGGUGGACAGUUUGACUGGGGCGGUCGCCUCCGAAAGAGUAACGGAGGCGCCCAAAGGUACCCUCAGAAUGGAUGGAAACCAUUCGAAGAGCGCAAAGGCAGAAGGGUGCCUGACUGCGAGAGUGACAACUCGAGCAGAGACGAAAGUCGGGCUUAGUGAUCCGGCGGUAUUGAGUGGAAAAGCCGUCGCUUAACGGAUAAAAGCUACCUCGGGGAUAACAGGCUGAUCUCCCCCAAGAGUCCACAUCGACGGGGAGGUUUGGCACCUCGAUGUCGGCUCGUCGCAUCCUGGGGCUGAAGCAGGUCCCAAGGGUUUGGCUGUUCGCCAAUUAAAGCGGCACGCGAGCUGGGUUCAGA
RNAcentral lists this ribosomal RNA (1770 nucleotides) under metagenome. RNAcentral describes it as "bacterial LSU rRNA". It matches the Rfam family "Bacterial large subunit ribosomal RNA", at positions 829 to 2615 of the family's 2925-position model. The record is from RNAcentral.